Molecule: ribosomal RNA, 440 nt
Filed under: uncultured bacterium
Lineage: Bacteria
Description: partial 16S ribosomal RNA
Rfam family: Bacterial small subunit ribosomal RNA
Source: RNAcentral
CCUACGGGAGGCAGCAGUAGGGAAUAUUGCUCAAUGGGGGAAACCCUGAAGCAGCAACGCCGCGUGGAUGAUGAAGGUUUUCGGAUUGUAAACUCCUUUUGUUAGGGAAGAUGAUGACGGUAUCUAACGAAUAAGCCCCGGCUCACUCCGUUCCAGCAGCCGCGGUAAUACGGAGGGUGCCAGCGUUACUCGGAAUCACGGGGCGUAAAGAGCGCGUAGGCGGGAUAGCAAGUCAGAUGUGAAAUCCUAUGGCUUAACCCUAGAACUGCAUUUGAAACUGUUAGUAUAGAGUAUGGGAGAGGUAGGUGGAAUUCUUGGGGGAGGGGGAAAAUCCGUAGAGAUCAAGAGGAAUACUCAUUGCGAAGGCGACCUGCUAGAACAUAACUGACGCUGAUGCGCGAAAGCGUGGGGAGCAAACAGGAUUAGAUACCCGAGUAGUC